RNAcentral lists this ribosomal RNA (497 nucleotides) under uncultured bacterium. RNAcentral describes it as "partial 16S ribosomal RNA". It matches the Rfam family "Bacterial small subunit ribosomal RNA", at positions 28 to 507 of the family's 1533-position model. The record is from RNAcentral.
GAUGAACGCUGGCGGCGUGCCUAAUACAUGCAAGUCGAGCGAACGGACGAGAAGCUUGCUUCUCUGAUGUUAGCGGCGGACGGGUGAGUAACACGUGGAUAACCUACCUAUAAGACUGGGGUAACUUCGGGAAACCGGAGCUAAUACCGGAUAAUAUUUUGAACCGCAUGGUUCAAAAGUGAAAGACGGUCUUGCUGUCACUUAUAGAUGGAUCCGCGCUGCAUUAGCUAGUUGGUAAGGUAACGGCUUACCAAGGCAACGAUGCAUAGCCGACCUGAGAGGGUGAUCGGCCACACUGGAACUGAGACACGGUCCAGACUCCUACGGGAGGCAGCAGUAGGGAAUCUGCCGCAAUGGGCGAAAGCCUGACGGAGCAACGCCGCGUGAGUGAUGAAGGUCUUCGGAUCGUAAAACUCUGUUAUUAGGGAAGAACAUAUGUGUAAGUAACUGUGCACAUCUUGACGGUACCUAAUCAGAAAGCCACGGCUAACUACGUG